Molecule: non-coding RNA, 45 nt
Filed under: Schistosoma mansoni
Lineage: Eukaryota; Metazoa; Platyhelminthes; Trematoda; Strigeidida; Schistosomatidae
Source: RNAcentral
AUCCAACUGACAGGUCCCAAACAGGACGUAACGCGCGUCCUGAAU